UACGGAGGGUGCAAGCGUUGUCCGGAUUUAUUGGGUUUAAAGGGUGCGUAGGCGGCCGAUUAAGUCUGGGGUGAAAGCCCACUGCUCAACAGUGGAACUGCCCUGGAAACUGGUCGGCUUGAGUACAGACGAGGGUGGCGGAAUGGAUGGUGCAGCGGUGAAAUGCAUAGAUACCAUCCAGAACCCCGAUUGCGAAGGCAGCUGCCUAGACUGUAACUGACGCUGAGGCACGAAAGCGUGGGGAGCGAACAGG
This 253-nucleotide ribosomal RNA is filed under the name uncultured bacterium. RNAcentral describes it as "partial 16S ribosomal RNA". It matches the Rfam family "Bacterial small subunit ribosomal RNA", at positions 524 to 776 of the family's 1533-position model. The record is from RNAcentral.